AAGUCGUAACAAGGUUUCCGUAGGUGAACCUGCGGAAGGAUCAUCAUUGUAGGAGUGAGGUCCCUUUUUUUGAGGCCUUGACAACCUUUUUAGAGUCCCAGCAAACAGACAACAAGGGGGAGCAAUUGGCUGAGAUAGGAAGCGAGGGAAACAAGAAACAACUUUCAACAACGGAUCUCUUGGCUCUCA
This 189-nucleotide unclassified non-coding RNA is filed under the name fungal sp. Its description in RNAcentral is "partial internal transcribed spacer region". The stretch from base 1 to 46 matches the Rfam family "Eukaryotic small subunit ribosomal RNA", at positions 1786 to 1831 of the family's 1831-position model. The record is from RNAcentral. Lineage: Eukaryota; Fungi.